GCAGCAGGCACGCAAAUUACCCACUCCCGGCACGGGGAGGUAGUGACAAAAAAUAACGAUACGGGACUCUAUUGAGGCCCCGUAAUCGGAAUGAGUACACUUUAAAUCCUUUAACAAGGAUCCAUUGGAGGGCAAGUCUGGUGCCAGCAGCCGCGGUAAUUCCAGCUCCAAUAGCGUAUAUUAAAGUUGUUGCGGUUAAAAAGCUCGUAGUUGGUUCUGCGUGCCGCGCUGUCGGUUCGCCGCCUGUCGGUGUAACUGGCAUGUCGCGGCAUGUCCUGUCGGUGGUGAGCGGGGUCCAUGAUACUGCUUUGGCUUCUUUAGUCAAUGCUAGUGUUGUGUGUACUUCCGUUCGCCGAUCUCUCCUACUUCGGUGCUCUUAAACGAGUGUCGAGGUAGGCCGACACGUUCACUUUGAACAAAUUAGAGUGCUUAAAGCAGGCUGAAAUAUCUGCUUGAAUAGUGGUGCAUGGAAUGAUAAAACAGGACCUCAGUUCUAUUUUGUUGGUUUUAGGAAUAUGAGGUAAUGAUCAAUAUGGACUGGCGGGGGCAUUCGUAUUGCGACGUUAGAGGUGAAAUUCUUGGAUCGUCGCAAGACGCACUAGAGCGAAAGCAUUUGCCAAGUAUGUCUUAAUUGAUCAAGAACGAAAGUUAGAGGUUCGAAGGCGAUCAGAUACCGCCCUAGUUCUAACCAUAAACGAUGCCAGCCAGCGAUCCGCCGAUGUUCCUUUAAUGACUCGGCGGGGAGCUUCCACCCGGAAAACCAAAGCUUUUGGGUUCCGGGGGAAGUAUGGUUGCAAAGCUGAAACUUAAAGGAAUUGACGGAAGGGCACCACCAGGAGUGGAGCCUGCGGCUUAAUUUGACUCAACACGGGAAACCUCACCAGGCCAGGACAUUGGAAGGAUUGACAGAUUGAUAGCUCUUUCUUGAUUCAGUGGGUAGUGGUGCAUGGCCGUCU
RNAcentral lists this ribosomal RNA (956 nucleotides) under Sastrapada sp. RNAcentral describes it as "SSU rRNA". It matches the Rfam family "Eukaryotic small subunit ribosomal RNA", at positions 425 to 1293 of the family's 1831-position model. The record is from RNAcentral. Lineage: Eukaryota; Metazoa; Arthropoda; Insecta; Hemiptera; Reduviidae.